AUCUAUGGGCAGGCCACCCUGAACAAGCCUGAUCCUGUCUGAUCUCAGAAGCUAAGCAGGGUCGGGCCUGGUUAGUACCUGAAUGGGAGACCACCUAAGAAGACCAGGUGCUGUAGGCA
RNAcentral lists this ribosomal RNA (119 nucleotides) under Pteropus alecto (black flying fox). The record is from RNAcentral. Lineage: Eukaryota; Metazoa; Chordata; Mammalia; Chiroptera; Pteropodidae.